UACGGAGGGUGCGAGCGUUGUCCGGAAUCAUUGGGCGUAAAGGGCGCGUAGGUGGCCCGGUCAGUCUUUGGUGAAAGCGCGGGGCUCAACCCUGCGUCGGCCAGGGAUACUGCCGCGGCUCGAGCACUGUAGAGGCAGGCGGAAUUCCGGGUGUAGCGGUGGAAUGCGUAGAGAUCCGGAAGAACACCGGUGGCGAAGGCGGCCUACUGGGCAGUUUAGCUGACACUGAGGCGCGACAGCGUGGGGAGCAAACAGG
This 256-nucleotide ribosomal RNA is filed under the name uncultured bacterium. Its description in RNAcentral is "partial 16S ribosomal RNA". It matches the Rfam family "Bacterial small subunit ribosomal RNA", at positions 524 to 776 of the family's 1533-position model. The record is from RNAcentral.